RNAcentral lists this long non-coding RNA (199 nucleotides) under Elaeis guineensis (African oil palm). RNAcentral's name for it is "long non-coding RNA (EGUI_LNC078830)". The record is from RNAcentral. Lineage: Eukaryota; Viridiplantae; Streptophyta; Magnoliopsida; Arecales; Arecaceae.
UCGAUUUUUGAUCCUCGCCCACCUCAUCCUCAUCCAGAAAUAAAAAAUCCAAAUUGGAGAGGUGGCGGUUAUCCUUUGUUGAAGCAAGUCCUACCCCAAAAAGAAGGUUUCUUCGAAGAAAUUGAUCUUCUCCUGAGUAUACUCUGAAAAAGAUUAGAAUACCUCAACCACCAAUCGAUCGACAUCAAUAAUCUUCUCA